AUUGAACGCUGGCGGCAGGCCUAACACAUGCAAGUCGAACGGUAACAGGAAGACGCUUGCUUCUUUGCUGACGAGUGGCGGACGGGUGAGUAAUGUCUGGGAAACUGCCUGAUGGAGGGGGAUAACUACUGGAAACGGUAGCUAAUACCGCAUAACGUCGCAAGACCAAAGAGGGGGACCUUCGGGCCUCUUGCCCUCGGAUGUGCCCAGAUGGGAUUAGCUAGUAGGUGGGGUAACGGCUCACCUAGGCGACGAUCCCUAGCUGGUCUGAGAGGAUGACCAGCCACACUGGAACUGAGACACGGUCCAGACUCCUACGGGAGGCAGCAGUGGGGAAUAUUGCACAAUGGGCGCAAGCCUGAUGCAGCCAUGCCGCGUGUAUGAAGAAGGCCUUCGGGUUGUAAAGUACUUUCAGCGGGGAGGAAGGGAGUAAAGUUAAUACCUUUACUCAUUGACGUUACCCGCAGAAGAAGCACCGGCUAACUCCGUG
Molecule: ribosomal RNA, 490 nt
Filed under: uncultured bacterium
Lineage: Bacteria
Description: partial 16S ribosomal RNA
Rfam family: Bacterial small subunit ribosomal RNA
Source: RNAcentral